RNAcentral lists this ribosomal RNA (376 nucleotides) under uncultured organism. RNAcentral describes it as "bacterial SSU rRNA". It matches the Rfam family "Archaeal small subunit ribosomal RNA", at positions 476 to 851 of the family's 1478-position model. The record is from RNAcentral.
CCAGCACCCCGAGUGGUCGGGACGUUUAUUGGGCCUAAAGCAUCCGUAGCCGGUUCUGCAAGUCUUCCGUUAAAUCCACCUGCUUAACAGAUGGGCCGCGGAAGAUACUAUAGAGCUAGGAGGCGGGAGAGGCAAGCGGUACUCGAUGGGUAGGGGUAAAAUCCGUUGAUCCAUUGAAGACCACCAGUGGCGAAGGCGGCUUGCCAGAACGCGCUCGACGGUGAGGGAUGAAAGCUGGGGGAGCAAACCGGAUUAGAUACCCGGGUAGUCCCAGCUGUAAACGAUGCAGACUCGGUGAUGAAUUGGCUUUAUGCCUAUUCAGUGCCGCAGGGAAGCCGUUAAGUUUGCCGCCUGGGGGAGUACGGUCGCAAGACUG